Chlorocebus sabaeus (green monkey) is the source of this 60-nucleotide small nucleolar RNA. Its record names the gene SNORD58. It matches the Rfam family "Small nucleolar RNA SNORD58". From Rfam's summary of the family: snoRNA U58 is found in introns 1, 3 and 6 of the ribosomal protein RPL17 gene in humans. U58 is a member of the C/D class of snoRNA which contain C (UGAUGA) and D (CUGA) box motifs. Most of the members of the box C/D family function in directing site-specific 2'-O-methylation of substrate RNAs. The record is from Ensembl. Lineage: Eukaryota; Metazoa; Chordata; Mammalia; Primates; Cercopithecidae.
UUGCUGUAAUGACAGAGGACACCUUGGAUUGAUGGUGAAAUAAACCAUGUUCUAAGAAGC